GACGAACGCUGGCGGCGUGCUUAACACAUGCAAGUCGAACGGAAAGGCCCUGCUUUUGUGGGGUGCUCGAGUGGCGAACGGGUGAGUAACACGUGAGUAACCUGCCCUUGACUUUGGGAUAACUUCAGGAAACUGGGGCUAAUACCUGAUAGGAGCUCCUGCUGCAUGGUGGGGGUUGGAAAGUUUCGGCGGUUGGGGAUGGACUCCCGGCUUAUCAGCUUGUGGGUGGGGUAGUGGCUUACCAAGGCUUUGACGGGUAGCCGGCCUGAGAGGGUGACCGGCCACAUUGGGACUGAGAGACGGCCCAGACUCCUACGGGAGGCAGCAGUGGGGAAUAUUGCACAAUGGGCGGAAGCCUGAUGCAGCAACGCCGCGUGCGGGAUGACGGCCUUCGGGUUGUAAACCGCUUUCGCCUGUGACGAAGCGUGAGUGACGGUAAUGGGUAAAGAAGCACCGGCUAACUACGUG
RNAcentral lists this ribosomal RNA (468 nucleotides) under uncultured bacterium. RNAcentral describes it as "partial 16S ribosomal RNA". It matches the Rfam family "Bacterial small subunit ribosomal RNA", at positions 28 to 507 of the family's 1533-position model. The record is from RNAcentral.